GGGGAAUAUUGGACAAUGGGCGCAAGCCUGAUCCAGCCAUGCCGCGUGAGUGAUGAAGGCCUUAGGGUUGUAAAGCUCUUUUAGCAGGGAAGAUAAUGACUGUACCUGCAGAAUAAGCUCCGGCUAACUUCGUGCCAGCAGCCGCGGUAAUACGAAGGGAGCUAGCGUUGUUCGGAAUCACUGGGCGUAAAGCGCACGUAGGCGGAUUUGUUAGUGAGGGGUGAAAUCCCGGGGCUCAACCUCGGAACUGCCUUUCAUACUGCAGAUCUCGAGUCCGAUAGAGGUGGGUGGAAUUCCUAGUGUAGAGGUGAAAUUCGUAGAUAUUAGGAAGAACACCGGUGGCGAAGGCGGCCCACUGGAUCGGUACUGACGCUGAGGUGCGAAAGCGUGGGGAGCAAAC
Molecule: ribosomal RNA, 400 nt
Filed under: uncultured bacterium
Lineage: Bacteria
Description: bacterial SSU rRNA
Rfam family: Bacterial small subunit ribosomal RNA
Source: RNAcentral